This 478-nucleotide ribosomal RNA is filed under the name uncultured bacterium. Its description in RNAcentral is "partial 16S ribosomal RNA". It matches the Rfam family "Bacterial small subunit ribosomal RNA", at positions 28 to 523 of the family's 1533-position model. The record is from RNAcentral.
GACGAACGCUGGCGGCGUGCUUAACACAUGCAAGUCGAGCGAUGAAGUUCCUUCGGGAAUGGAUUAGCGGCGGACGGGUGAGUAACACGUGGGUAACCUGCCUCAUAGAGGGGAAUAGCCUUUCGAAAGGAAGAUUAAUACCGCAUAAGAUUGUAGUAUCGCAUGAUACAGCAAUUAAAGGAGUAAUCCGCUAUGAGAUGGACCCGCGUCGCAUUAGCUAGUUGGUGAGGUAACGGCUCACCAAGGCGACGAUGCGUAGCCGACCUGAGAGGGUGGGCGGCCACAUUGGGACUGAGACACGGCCCAGACUCCUACGGGAGGCAGCAGUGGGGAAUAUUGCACAAUGGGGGAAACCCUGAUGCAGCAACGCCGCGUGAGUGAUGACGGUCUUCGGAUUGUAAAACUCUGUCUUCAGGGACGAUAAUGACGGUACCUGAGGAGGAAGCCACGGCUAACUACGUGCCAGCAGCCGCGGUAA